This 1351-nucleotide long non-coding RNA is filed under the name Homo sapiens (human). RNAcentral's name for it is "HSALNT0004651". The record is from RNAcentral. Lineage: Eukaryota; Metazoa; Chordata; Mammalia; Primates; Hominidae.
CAAGAAAUAAACUUUUGGUGAGUUAAGCCAUUUCAAUUUGAGGGUUGUUUGCUACCACCAUGUUUUCACUUGUAGGUUUUGUUACUACCAUUCAGGUAUGGUGAGGCCAACAGAUCAGAAGACACUGCCGCUGAAAAGAUAACACAGUUUCCUAGAGGAAGGGGCAUACUAUGCCAUGCAGGGCCACAAGCAUGUCAGAAGCUCCAGCGUCAGUGACAAGGCAGAAGGAGCCUGGGGCCAUGCUUGACACACCAAUGUCCUCAUGAAAUGCUUGGCAAAGAAAAAGGACCACAGGACAGAGGCUCCAGAGAGACACACUUGGGCUCCACGCAGAGAAGAACACUGGCAUUCACAUCUGCCAAAGGUAUGAGCGUGCCACCUCUCAAGUUCAAUCCAAUUUUAAUCCCUCAAAUAUUUACUGAGUGGCAACAGGUCUCAGAUGCUGAUCCUCAGAGAGGAGGAGGAACAUACCUGGUUGAAUCUUGGGCCAAGCUCAGAGACAUGGCUUUGCUUUUGCCAGUCAGAGAACCAGUGAGAAAGGCCAUAAUGAAACUCUGAUCUCAACAAACUCCAACCUGGAAUUAUGGAGUCUAUUAGUACAUUGGGUUGACCCCAUUACUGGAGUAAAUGUAAGUCUUGAUUCCUGCUUGAUAGAAAAACAUAGAAGACAGGGAAAGACGGAAGAAUUAGGCUUUGUCCAAAUGUCUUCCAGGCACAUGGAACUUUCUGAAACUGUCUGGAGUAGGGCGGCUGGCAAAUCAAAACACUAUCUGCCAAGACUGUCAGUGUGACAAGUGUUGCUUACACUUACUCUUUUAUUCCCAAGGUCAAAUUGGCAUGUCAUUUUUCAUAUCACUGUUUGAUGUGCUAACAGCCUUAAAUGAGAACCAUUCAAUAAAAGCCCAAUUUGCUAUAUUACCAUUUAUUCCUGGAUAAUUCUAUAUUAGUUGGGCUCUUUAAGAUUGUCUCUGUGCUGCCCCAAAAUCUGGAGAACCAUGUGAUAAACCCCCACUUUUCAUAACUUUCUGAGGAUGGAGGCAGAGCCCUGAGUCGUCCCUGAGUGAGUGUUGCUGGGACUGGUUCCCUAGGCCUCAAGUGAAAUAAGAGAUCUGGAUCAGCUAGAAGGACAUAAUGAUCAGGAAUGACAGAGAUGGAUGGCUCUCUGGGUGACGUGGCCCGAGGCUUUGCCUUGCAAGACCUGGCCUGCCUUUCUUUCUACCUCAGCUCAUGGCUCUCUCCCCUUUGGUCUUUCCCCCUCUACCCACACUGGCUUCUAUUUUUUGAGAAGGAGUCUCGCUCUGUGGCCCAGGCUGGAGUGCAGUGGCGUGAUCUCGGCUCUCUCCAAGCUCUG